CUGGCAGCCACGGCUCGGGAAGCCACGGCAGCGCAGCUGUUUUCCCAUAUACUUCUUCCCGUAGUUACAACAGUAGAAAAACUUUGCGCGGAGCAGCUGUUGCCAAGAAUGCCCAGCUGACUGCAGCCUCUGCGGGCUCCUCAUGCUCUCCUCCUCAAGUGUUUGUCCUUGGUCAAGAGUUGCUGCAGGCAGAGGUCCAAAUUAUGGGCAAAUUAGUGUCAGAGUGGAUUCUUGGCAUUUGCAUGGCCAAUUCCUGAAACAACUGCAAGCAUACAUGUUCCUUUGGUGCUCUACUUCAUGGAUUGAUCUGAAAGGUUAACGUGGGUAUUGGCCUCUUUUUCCAAGUAACAACUGAUAGGAUGAGAGGAAAGAGCCUCAAGUUGUGCCAGGGAGGUUCAGAUUGGAUAUUAGGAAAAAUUUCUUCCCGGAAAUGGCUGUCAGGCAUUGGAACAGGCUGCCCAGGGAAGUGGUUGAGUCACCAUCCCUGGAGGUGUUUAAAAAAUGUGUAGACGAGGUGCUUAGGGACGUGGUUUAGAGGUGGACUUCACUGUGCUAGGUUAAUGGCUGGACUCAAUGAUCUUAAAGGUCUUUUCCAACCUAAAUAAUUCUGUGAUUCUAUGAUAUAGUAUGGCAGUUUUCUAUAAAAGACAUCUGAUACAGAGCUGGUGUAGCUAUCGGGCUCACAGGCCCAUGAAACAGAUGCAUGAGAGCUGGGAUCUGUGCUGGGAUCUGGGCUUCCUCACUUCCAACGUGGCUCUGCUGUUAUGAUCCUUAUCGCAGAGGUUGCAAGUAUUUACCUGGCCCUUUGGCUGACGUCAAGGAAGUUCGACAAGGAAUUUCCCUGGUGUGAAGAAUUCCUCUGUGCAUGCAGACUGGACACGGACACAUUCUUACCCUGUGUAGGUUGCCAUCAUGGAGUCUGGAGCAUAACCACAGAAUAAUUUAGGCUCAAGUGGACCUCCAGAGGUUAUUUGGUCCAACCUCCUUUCCAAACAGGGCCAAGCAGUGCAUCUGGAUGGAGGCAUCCUGAUAAAUCAGUUCCUCUGAAGACUGUGAUUUAAAAAUUAAUGUUGGGAUGGAUUUUGAGCUAAUUUAAACUGUCAGGGGAUGCCCAAUUCCCACUAAUGCCAGGAGCGUUACUCCGCGUUGAAGAAUGAGAUCUGAUGGAUUUUGCCGCAGCAGCUACAGAAGUGACCGCCCCAGGCGUCUCACCCCACUGCUCCACUGCAGGUGAUCGCCGUCCCAGCAACGUCAGCAGAAGAGAGUACGUCACACCUCAGUUUC
Long non-coding RNA from Columba livia (rock pigeon), 1284 nucleotides. RefSeq lists it as uncharacterized. The record is from RefSeq and is a predicted model, not a curated record. Lineage: Eukaryota; Metazoa; Chordata; Aves; Columbiformes; Columbidae. The transcript is spliced from 4 exons.